GGUAAAAUGGCUGAUUAUAGGUAAUAAAUUGUAAAUUUAUUUAUGAAGUUAAAUAUUUCUUUUACCA
RNAcentral lists this transfer RNA (67 nucleotides) under Tropiphorus elevatus. RNAcentral's name for it is "tRNA-Tyr". The record is from RNAcentral. Lineage: Eukaryota; Metazoa; Arthropoda; Insecta; Coleoptera; Curculionidae.